Molecule: long non-coding RNA, 612 nt
Filed under: Medicago truncatula (barrel medic)
Lineage: Eukaryota; Viridiplantae; Streptophyta; Magnoliopsida; Fabales; Fabaceae
Description: lncRNA gene21843
Source: RNAcentral
CGUAGGAACAAAAAGAAGCAGAUCUAUUCUAUAUCCGAUAAGUAACAAUACGCAAUGGUGGGGGUUGUUACUUUUUUUUAUGAGUGUUUGUAUUGGAUAUGUGGUUUAUAUCAGUGAAUCCAGACAUAUCCAAGAAGGACCUAUUCGUCAAAACUUUCCUUUAUUCAUUUAGUGUUAUUUUUUUAUUUAUGUUAUCUCCAAAAUAGAAUGAUUUUUAACAAAUCAACUCAUUCUGUUCUUACGUUCUCACUCCAAGAAAGAAGAUAGGAUAGAUUUUUUCUAUUUAAUGCAAUUGGUGUUCCAAAGUACCUUUCAACUUCUGAAGAGAUGAGGCAUUUGGGUUGAUUUAUACAAUCGACUUUUUCAAGAAAGAUUACUUUUUUUAGGUCAAGAGGUCAACACUGAAAUAUCAAAUCAACUUGUUGGUCUAAUGGUAUAUCUCAGUUUAGAGGACAAGACCAGAGAUUUGUAUUUGUUUAUAAAUUCUCCGGGCGGAGAGGUAUAUUGGAAUGGUAUAUUUGAUAUUAUGCAGUUGUAGAAGCAGAAGUAUACAGUAUGCGUAGGAUUAGCCGCUUCAAUGGGAUCUCUUCUUUUGGUCGGAGGGGAAUUUAC